UUGGCUAAGAUCAAGUGUAGUAUCUGUUCUUAUCAGUUUAAUAUCUGAUACGUGGACCAUCGGUCCACAUGAUAUUAAAUUAAUUUUUCUAGGGGGAUAGCCCACCACGGCAGCUUGCUGCUGGGGCUCUCAAGCGUCGCUUUGGCGUUGCACUACUGCCUUGGCCAGGCGCACCUCACCAAUUCUAGUCUACAUGUCUUCACUAAAUAUAAACAAAGAGCGUUGUCAUCAUUGUCUAAACAGAAACCUAGAGCAGCAUUAUCAUCAUCGUUGUCAAACAGAAACGUAGAGCAGCAUCAUCGUCGUCAUCAUCAAUGGGAGGAGCUCAUACUAGCCAAAGGUAUCCCAACUUGAAACAUACUUACCUGGACGGGGUCGAUGGGCGAUCAAGAAGGCCCAUGGCCUAGGUUGGUGACUUCCAUUGCACUUUGGAGGGGUGCUCGCCUAAGGUCUGUCUAAAUGGUGGAGCCUACGUCAUAAUUUGUGGUAGCGGGGGCUUGCGUUCGCGCAGCCCCCAACCCAAAUCAUAGUAUCAAACAUGUGUUGUGCUCGAUAAAUUUGUUCAAGUUUUUAUUUGGAUAUGACAGGAGAAAUGAUUUUAGUUUGAUGGAAGUUGGAAUUUUCAUAAUUCCAGAAUUUGUUGACCAUAUUAUAACUAUUUGAACAAGUUCCUCCGUGACUUGAAAAGAAAGGUGAAGAACAAAGUGACAGUCGGGGCGUCCAUUGUCCAGGCAUACAUUAGCGAAAAAAUCGGGCUAUUCACUUUCCACCACUUUGAGCAGCACGUUCUUUGAAAGCGAAGUAGGCAUGGUAGAAAUGAUGAUCUUACGAGGAAUGAUGAUAGCAUUUCAACUAUCCUUGUUGGGGAAGUGGGGCUUCAUAGAAGAGAUGGCUCUACGGGUUCAUGACGUCAUUUCAUCGAGACUUAUGUGUUAUGCAACUAUGAUAUAGUCACGCCCUAUUACGAGUAAGAAUAUACAUGUUUUUGCACAUUGUGAUUGUGAACAUAUAUAAAAGAAAAAAAAAAUUGGUGGGUGUCCAUUUUUCAAAAAUC
Sesamum indicum (sesame) is the source of this 1054-nucleotide small nuclear RNA. RefSeq annotates it as U2 spliceosomal RNA. The record is from RefSeq and is a predicted model, not a curated record. NCBI's taxonomy places the organism in Eukaryota, Viridiplantae, Streptophyta, Magnoliopsida, Lamiales, Pedaliaceae.